Molecule: transfer RNA, 77 nt
Filed under: Candidatus Saccharimonadota bacterium
Lineage: Bacteria; Candidatus Saccharimonadota
Also listed under: 2 other names
Description: tRNA-Thr
Rfam family: tRNA
About the family: Transfer RNA (tRNA) molecules are approximately 80 nucleotides in length. Their secondary structure includes four short double-helical elements and three loops (D, anti-codon, and T loops).
Source: RNAcentral
GCCGCUUUAGCUCAGUUGGUUAGAGCAGCUGUUUUGUAAACAGCAGGUCUUCGGUUCGAGUCCGAAAAGCGGCUCCA